CUUCUACAUGCAAGUCGAGGGGCAGCAUAAAUUACUUGUAAUUUGAUGGCGACCGGCGAACGGGUGCGUAACGCGUAUGCAACUUACCUUUUACUAGAGAAUAGCCAAGAGAAAUUUUGAUUAAUGCUCUAUACACUUUAAGACUCUCAUGAGUCUAAAAGAAAAGCUCCGGCGGUAAAAGAUGGGCAUGCGUUCUAUUAGCUUGUAGGUGAGGUAACGGCUCACCUAAGCUCCGAUAGAUAGGGGUCCUGAGAGGGAGACCCCCCACACUGGUACUGAGACACGGACCAGACUUCUACGGAAGGCAGCAGUAAGGAAUAUUGGACAAUGGAGGCAACUCUGAUCCAGCCAUGCCGCGUGAAGGAAGAAGGCCCUAUGGGUCGUAAACUUCUUUUAUACAGGAAGAAAUCUUUCCACGUGUGGAAAGUUGACGGUACUGUAAGAAUAAGGAUCGGCUAACUCCGUGCCAGCAGCCGCGGUAAUACGGAGGAUCCAAGCGUUAUCCGGAAUUAUUGGGUUUAAAGGGUCCGCAGGCUGUUUGUUAAGUUAGAGGUGAAAUCCUACCGCUCAACGGUAGAACUGCCUUUAAUACUGGCAAACUUGAGUUAUUGUGAAGUAAUUAGAAUGUGUAGUGUAGCGGUGAAAUGCAUAGAUAUUACACAGAAUACCGAUUGCGAAAGCAGAUUACUAACAAUUAACUGACGCUGAGGGACGAAAGCGUGGGUAGCGAACARGAUUAGAUACCCUGGUAGUCCACGCCGUAAACGAUGGUCACUAGCUGUUCGAUGUACAUUGGGACAUUGAGUGGCUAAGCGAAAGUGAUAAGUGACCCAC
RNAcentral lists this ribosomal RNA (834 nucleotides) under uncultured Bacteroidota bacterium. RNAcentral describes it as "bacterial SSU rRNA". It matches the Rfam family "Bacterial small subunit ribosomal RNA", at positions 48 to 872 of the family's 1533-position model. Lineage: Bacteria; Pseudomonadati; Bacteroidota. The record is from RNAcentral.